RNAcentral lists this ribosomal RNA (253 nucleotides) under uncultured bacterium. Its description in RNAcentral is "partial 16S ribosomal RNA". It matches the Rfam family "Bacterial small subunit ribosomal RNA", at positions 524 to 776 of the family's 1533-position model. The record is from RNAcentral.
GACGAACCGUGCGAACGUUGUUCGGAAUCACUGGGCUUAAAGGGCGCGUAGGCGGGCCGGCAAGUCAGGGGUGAAAGCCCGCGGCUCAACCGCGGAAGCGCCUUUGAUACUGUUGGUCUUGAGGGGGGUAGGGGCGUGCGGAACUUCCGGUGGAGCGGUGAAAUGCGUAGAGAUCGGAAGGAACACCGGUGGCGAAGGCGGCGCGCUGGACCCCUUCUGACGAUGAGGCGCGAAAGACAGGGGAGCGAACGGG